UACGUAGGGUGCAAGCGUUAAUCGGAAUUACUGGGCGUAAAGCGUGCGCAGGCGGUUUUGUAAGACAGGUGUGAAAUCCCCGAGCUCAACUUGGGAACUGCACUUGUGACUGCAAGACUAGAGUGUGUCAGAGGGAGGUAGAAUUCCACGUGUAGCAGUGAAAUGCGUAGAUAUGUGGAGGAAUACCAGUGGCGAAGGCGGCCUCCUGGGAUAACACUGACGCUCAUGUACGAAAGCGUGGGGAGCAAACAGG
This 253-nucleotide ribosomal RNA is filed under the name uncultured bacterium. Its description in RNAcentral is "partial 16S ribosomal RNA". It matches the Rfam family "Bacterial small subunit ribosomal RNA", at positions 524 to 776 of the family's 1533-position model. The record is from RNAcentral.